UAGCGUAGGUGGCGAGGUAAGUCAGGUGUGAAAUUUCGGAGCUCAACUCCGAAACUGCAUUCGAUACUGCCUUGCUUGAGGACUGGAGAGGAGACUGGAAUUUACGGUGUAGCAGUGAAAUGCGUAGAGAUCGUAAGGAAGACCAGUGGCGAAGGCGGGUCUCUGGACAGUUCCUGACACUGAGGCACGAAAGGGCUAGGGAAGGCAAAACG
This 212-nucleotide ribosomal RNA is filed under the name uncultured bacterium. Its description in RNAcentral is "partial 16S ribosomal RNA". It matches the Rfam family "Bacterial small subunit ribosomal RNA", at positions 568 to 776 of the family's 1533-position model. The record is from RNAcentral.